RNAcentral lists this ribosomal RNA (245 nucleotides) under uncultured Eubacteriales bacterium. RNAcentral describes it as "uncultured Clostridiales bacterium partial 16S ribosomal RNA". It matches the Rfam family "Bacterial small subunit ribosomal RNA", at positions 796 to 1041 of the family's 1533-position model. The record is from RNAcentral. Lineage: Bacteria; Bacillati; Bacillota; Clostridia; Eubacteriales.
CACGCCGUAAACGAUGAGCACUAGGUGUCGGGGUCGCAAGACUUCGGUGCCGCAGUUAACGCAUUAAGUGCUCCGCCUGGGGAGUACGCACGCAAGUGUGAAACUCAAAGGAAUUGACGGGGACCCGCACAAGCAGCGGAGCAUGUGGUUUAAUUCGAAGCAACGCGAAGAACCUUACCAGGACUUGACAUCCCUCUGACCGCUCUCUAACAGGAGCUUCUCUUCGGAGCAGAGGUGACAGGUGG